This 332-nucleotide ribosomal RNA is filed under the name uncultured eukaryote. RNAcentral describes it as "partial 18S ribosomal RNA". It matches the Rfam family "Eukaryotic small subunit ribosomal RNA", at positions 1470 to 1796 of the family's 1831-position model. The record is from RNAcentral.
CCCUUAGAUGUUCUGGGCCGCACGCGCGCUACACUGUUCGACGCAGCGAGUCUUAACCUUGACCGAAAGGUUUGGGUAAUCUUCAGCAAGGUCGAACGUGAUGGGGAUCGAUCAUUGCAAUUAUUGAUCGUGAACGAGGAAUUCCUAGUAAGUGCAAGUCAUCAGCUUGCGCUGAUUACGUCCCUGCCCUUUGUACACACCGCCCGUCGCUACUACCGAUUGAAUGGUUUAGUGAGAUCUCUGGAUUGACGCUGGCUAGGGGGCGACCCUUGGCCAGACUGCUCGAGAAACUGCUCAAACUUGAUCAUUUAGAGGAAGUAAAAGUCGUAACA